This 879-nucleotide ribosomal RNA is filed under the name Foliophoma camporesii. RNAcentral describes it as "partial large subunit ribosomal RNA". It matches the Rfam family "Eukaryotic large subunit ribosomal RNA", at positions 40 to 940 of the family's 3401-position model. The record is from RNAcentral. Lineage: Eukaryota; Fungi; Ascomycota; Dothideomycetes; Pleosporales.
ACAUCAUAGCGGAGGAAAGAAACCAACAGGGAUUGCCCUAGUAACGGCGAGUGAAGCGGCAACAGCUCAAAUUUGAAAUCUGGCUCUUUUAGGGUCCGAGUUGUAAUUUGCAGAGGGCGCUUUGGCGUUGGCAGCGGUCCAAGUUCCUUGGAACAGGACGUCACAGAGGGUGAGAAUCCCGUACGUGGUCGCUAUCCAUCGCCGUGUAAAGCCCCUUCGACGAGUCGAGUUGUUUGGGAAUGCAGCUCUAAAUGGGAGGUAAAUUUCUUCUAAAGCUAAAUACUGGCCAGAGACCGAUAGCGCACAAGUAGAGUGAUCGAAAGAUGAAAAGCACUUUGGAAAGAGAGUCAAAUAGCACGUGAAAUUGUUGAAAGGGAAGCGCUUGCAGCCAGACUUGCCUGUAGUUGCUCAUCCGGGCUUUUGCCCGGUGCACUCUUCUGCGGGCAGGCCAGCAUCAGUUUGGGCGGUUGGAUAAAGGUCUCUGUCAUGUACCUCUCUUCGGGGAGGCCUUAUAGGGGAGACGACAUGCAACCAGCCUGGACUGAGGUCCGCGCAUUUGCUAGGAUGCUGGCGUAAUGGCUGUAAGCGGCCCGUCUUGAAACACGGACCAAGGAGUCUAACAUCUAUGCGAGUGUUUGGGUGUCAAGCCCGAGCGCGUAAUGAAAGUGAACGGAGGUGGGACCCCAUUAGGGUGCACCAUCGACCGAUCCUGAUGUCUUCGGAUGGAUUUGAGUAAGAGCAUGGCUGUUGGGACCCGAAAGAUGGUGAACUAUGCUUGAAUAGGGUGAAGCCAGAGGAAACUCUGGUGGAGGCUCGCAGCGGUUCUGACGUGCAAAUCGAUCGUCAAAUUUGGGCAUAGGGGCGAAAGACUAAUCGAAC